Molecule: long non-coding RNA, 231 nt
Filed under: Brassica napus (rape)
Lineage: Eukaryota; Viridiplantae; Streptophyta; Magnoliopsida; Brassicales; Brassicaceae
Description: long non-coding RNA (BNAP_LNC008205)
Source: RNAcentral
AUGUCUAGCAACUUGUGGGAGAUUUUGUUCAUCCAAUGAAUAACCAAAUGACAAAAGAAAACUACGGCUGUUGAUUAAAAAUAAAGAACAGUAGCAAAAUUUUAUGAAAACCAGCUGACUUCGUUUCAGGCAUCAGACUCUUUAUUGUGUUCUUCGCUUCUCCUCCUUGAAUAACCAGUUGUUUAAAAAAAAAACAAUGGGUUUAAGUUUAGUAAAUUACAGAUUGACCCU